Long non-coding RNA from Jaculus jaculus (lesser Egyptian jerboa), 1546 nucleotides. RefSeq lists it as uncharacterized. The record is from RefSeq and is a predicted model, not a curated record. The transcript has 2 exons. Lineage: Eukaryota; Metazoa; Chordata; Mammalia; Rodentia; Dipodidae.
GCUUAAAGCCGCUGAUAGCCUUACUCGGGCGGAUCGGGAGUCAGGUCUCUGCGGAGUCCAUACUAGGCUGCUGGAAAGCUGGAGCUGCGCCCAUGAUUUCACCAGCUGGCAGCCCUGGCCGCACAAGGUGGAAGGCCCGGGAACUGCUGGGGAAGGACGCUUGACCCACGCCCCUUCCCACGUUGCUCUUCCUGUCUGUCUGCACUCAGUCGUUCCUGGCUCAGCUGUCAGUUAGCCUGGUAGGGAAGGCGGUCGCCUGUCAUUCACAGGACAGGCUCCUGAGUCCAGGGUGCGUUUCCCAAUGCCAUACUGCCCAGGGUAGAGCUCAGGGCAGGUCAGGAGGGGCUUUAACAUGAGAAGUGUGGGGUUGAGUUGGUCUGGUGGCUCAUGCCUAUAAUCCCAAUGCUCAGGAGGCUGAGGCAGGAGGACUGGUGUGAGUUUGAGGCCAGCCUGGGCUAAAGAGUGAGACCCCUGUCUCAAAUGAAAAACCAAAAGAAAUACAAGGCUGGAGUUCAGGCUUUGCCCUGGGAAGUCACGUGGUCUGGGACAAAGCACAUAAUCUUGUGUAGGACUUGGGUAUUCUUGUAAAGCAAAGAUAACAAAGAUAAAAUUCUUGCUUUACUCUUUUCCUCACCUUUAUCUAGGUGUAAAAGAGAUAUCCAUGAAGGUGUUCAAAAAGGAAACGAGUACAGACGUCCUAAGACAUUGACAGUGCAGGACAAGCAAGAAGUAGUCAGGCUCGGGGCUUGGGACAGGGGUGGAAGGCACGGAGCCAGGGGACCCUGAAGCUUGGAGCCAAAAGUAUUAACUUCAGCAAAGGUGACCGCUUCACUCUUCCCGCCAUCCUGCCCUGGCCCCUAGACAGGGCCGCACAAACUGGCUGACGGUUUCUUUGUUGGAAUGAUCCCAGACAGGGGCUGAAGCCCCCAAGAGUAAGGUCUUGGAUGCAUCAGGAGACCAUGAAACUGCCAUUUCUCUCCUCACUGCUAUCAGAUGUCGCUUUGGACACCAAGUUGAUUUCUUUCCUCCUCUUCCUGCGGUGCCUUCUGUAUAUUUCCCUUACGGCCCCGUCUUUACAGCGUCGGGUGGUUCUUCUCUCAAAGACCAGCUACAUUUGAAAUCUUAAGCUUCUCUGUGGAAGGAACUAUCAUGUUGAACUCUCAUCUCUAACCUGUCUCCGCCCCCCCCCAACCAGUAAUUCUAAGUGACCACGUCCUCACCUGAGUAGAAUUUAAACAUUUACAGGCCCUGCAAGUUUGCACUGCUUCGCCUGAUACAGACCUUUCAGAUAAGCUGGAUGAAAUAUGACUGUGGACAAAGCUAUGACCCAUCCAAGCUAUGAAUGUUCAUGUAACUAUCUAUGGGCGACACUUAACUCUGAAAAGUAUACAUGCACAAUGGUAAACUAAUUAAAUUCAAAUGCAAACUGUGUGCAAGAGCGCCACCUGCUGGAUAUUUGAGCAACAGUCCGGCUCGGUUGGGAGAAUCAGCACUUAGGGUUUUAGAUGGUAUCAGUCACUGAAAUGAAUAAAUGUGUUUACUGGCA